AUUGAACGCUGGCGGCAGGCUUAACACAUGCAAGUCGAGCGGAGAGAGGUAGCUUGCUACUGAUCUUAGCGGCGGACGGGUGAGUAAUGCUUAGGAAUCUGCCUAUUAGUGGGGGACAACAUUUCGAAAGGAAUGCUAAUACCGCAUACGUCCUACGGGAGAAAGCAGGGGAUCUUCGGACCUUGCGCUAAUAGAUGAGCCUAAGUCGGAUUAGCUAGUUGGUGGGGUAAAGGCCUACCAAGGCGACGAUCUGCAGCGGGUCUGAGAGGAUGAUCCGCCACACUGGGACUGAGACACGGCCCAGACUCCUACGGGAGGCAGCAGUGGGGAAUAUUGGACAAUGGGCGCAAGCCUGAUCCAGCCAUGCCGCGUGUGUGAAGAAGGCCUUAUGGUUGUAAAGCACUUUAAGCGAGGAGGAGGCUACUUUAGUUAAUACCUAGAGAUAGUGGACGUUACUCGCAGAAUAAGCACCGGCUAACUCUGUG
RNAcentral lists this ribosomal RNA (485 nucleotides) under uncultured bacterium. Its description in RNAcentral is "partial 16S ribosomal RNA". It matches the Rfam family "Bacterial small subunit ribosomal RNA", at positions 30 to 507 of the family's 1533-position model. The record is from RNAcentral.